UGGAGAUCCAUUAAAACACAGAUCGGUUAAGGCAGCGCAUUGAGAAACACGCAGACACACGUCAACGGUGUACCUCCACUCCAUGAAUCCUCCGGAUCCCAGCGACCAAAAUUACAGAUAAGCGGUUAUGAAUACGGUCCAGUUACUCUGCUACAUUGGACACAGUCUGCAAUGACGGGACACGCUGUUUAACAGGGUGACAGCGGUGCAAUCCUGAAGGAUCCCCAUGCACUCAGCCCGAUGGAGUUUACCUGGAUCUCUGCAUGUCCAGAGCGGAGCUAGCGAUCUGUCCGCCCUCCAUGCAGCAGUAGCUCUGGGCGGCUUGCCUGGAGA
Long non-coding RNA from Brienomyrus brachyistius, 333 nucleotides. RefSeq lists it as uncharacterized. The transcript is spliced from 3 exons. Lineage: Eukaryota; Metazoa; Chordata; Actinopteri; Osteoglossiformes; Mormyridae. The record is from RefSeq and is a predicted model, not a curated record.